GCGUUGUUCGGAAUUACUGGGCGUAAAGCGCACGUAGGCGGAUCAGAAAGUAUGAGGUGAAAUCCCGGGGCUCAACCCCGGAACUGCCUUGUAAACUCCUGGUCUUGAGUUCGAGAGAGGUGAGUGGAAUUCCGAGUGUAGAGGUGAAAUUCGUAGAUAUUCGGAGGAACACCAGUGGCGAAGGCGGCUCACUGGCUCGAUACUGACGCUGAGGUGCGAAAGUGUGGGGAGCAAACAGGAUUAGAUACCCUGGUAGUCCACGCCGUAAACGAUGUCGAUUUGGAGGCUGUGUCCUUGAGACGUGGCUUCCGUAGCUAACGCGUUAAAUCGACCGCCUGGGGAGUACGGCCGCAAGGUUAAAACUCAAAUGAAUUGACGGGGGCCCGCACAAGCGGUGGAGCAUGUGGUUUAAUUCGAUGCAACGCGAAGAACCUUACCUGGCCUUGACAUGUCUGGAAUCCUGUAGAGAUACGGGAGUGCCUUCGGGAAUCAGAACACAGGUGCUGCAUGGCU
RNAcentral lists this ribosomal RNA (513 nucleotides) under uncultured Paracoccaceae bacterium. Its description in RNAcentral is "bacterial SSU rRNA". It matches the Rfam family "Bacterial small subunit ribosomal RNA", at positions 538 to 1050 of the family's 1533-position model. Lineage: Bacteria; Pseudomonadati; Pseudomonadota; Alphaproteobacteria; Rhodobacterales; Paracoccaceae. The record is from RNAcentral.